Molecule: non-coding RNA, 95 nt
Organism: Lyophyllum atratum
Lineage: Eukaryota; Fungi; Basidiomycota; Agaricomycetes; Agaricales; Lyophyllaceae
Source: the annotation of a GenBank genome assembly
UCUUUGCUAGUAUAUCGGUUAGUACACGCGCUUGUCAUCGUCGUCACAGCGUCGCUACUACGCGCGAAAGCUGGGUUCGACUCCCAGGCAGAGAG